Molecule: long non-coding RNA, 1359 nt
Organism: Homo sapiens (human)
Lineage: Eukaryota; Metazoa; Chordata; Mammalia; Primates; Hominidae
Product: long intergenic non-protein coding RNA 2831
Source: Ensembl
AGUUGAGAAGCAAUGCUGUUUCACCUCCCUGAGAGAAUUGCCUUGUUUGUGAAAUACUACAGAAAAACCUGUAUUUUCUCCAGAAAAUGAAAGGUCUUGGCCUGAGUAAAUCAAGGCAGAAAACUCACCCCCGUGAAAGCUGCAGCUCUGAGAGUGUGUGGGCAGGGCUUCAACAGAAUACCUGUGGCUGCACUUACAAAAGGCAGCCAGAAGGACCCGUCCAUUCUGGAAAGUACCUUUAGUCUGAAAGCAUUUAUUGCAGAAAAAAUAUGAGGCUUGCUGGUAGUAUUCCCAGGUGACAAAUGUGCACCCAACACCCUACAGAAAAGAAGAACCAUAAAAUAAUUAAUUAUUCCAUUGUAACUCCUGCCUGGAAAACAUCUGAAAGAAGUCACUAGAUUCAGCCCACAUUCAAGAUGAGAAAUACCAGAAGGCAGAGAACACUGAGGCUGUUUUAGAGGCUGUCAACCCCAGGGAGACAGACAGCAAAUAAGUAAGCAAAUAAAUAAAAAUGGAAGGUGAUAAUAAGUGCAAUGAAAAGAAAUGAAGCAGAGUAAAGAAUCAAGAGUAGCAGUUGAGGGGAUGCUUGGAUGUUUUCACACCACUCUGACACAUGGAUGGAAGGUUAGAAGACAACAAAGGAAUGGGCUGGGAAGGACUCCAAAAGCAGAAUCAGAGAUUAUAUCAUUCCUUGGAAAUGGAGAAAAGGAUCAAAAAAGCUGAAUAAAAGGCAAACAUGGAGGAACAGAGUUUGGAGCAAUACCCUGACUUACAUUCAGUACUGUUAAUGGCUCCAGCAUCUUGAAACAAACCAAUUUUGGAUUUUCAGUUUAAUUGUUAUUCUUGAGAAGUCGGCUCUCAGCUGGAAUAUCAUUCCUUUGAAGAACUAAAAUUCAAAACAACAGCUUUAUGUGCAGUAUCCUCUAGGAAAGAGACAAGAAGUGAGGUCAUCUCAAUACUGUCUUAACACAUCUGAUCUGAGGUGUAGACCAUUCAAAAGGCAAAGUGAGCAGUCUAUUCUCACUCCUGGAUUCUUCAUUAAAAUAUUAUAUUCCCAGCAUUUCUGUGUCAAAAGGCGUGGGGAUGAGGAAUCUAUUCUCUGCAACAAAAGCCUAGAUCAACUCUAUCAAUCAUUAAUAAUAGACAAAGGAUCAUGUUAACGAAGGAUAACACAGAACUCUAAGAAGUCACUUGGUGAAUCUCUUCUGAUCCUAAAGAGGACUGGAUGGAGGAACCACCUGGUGGAGUGAGAAGAGAACAGACAUUCAUCUUCUUGCCAGCAACCUUGCCAGUGACCUUGAACAACUGCAUUUUAAAUGAUUGUUUUAAGAAUAAAAUGAGACAGUCCAGGUAAAACAC